GACGAACGCUGGCGGCGUGCUUAACACAUGCAAGUCGAACGGAAAGGCCCUGCUUUUGUGGGGUGCUCGAGUGGCGAACGGGUGAGUAACACGUGAGUAAUCUGCCCUUGACUUUGGGAUAACUUUAGGAAACUGGGGCUAAUACCGGAUAGGAGCUCGUGCUGCAUGGUGGGGGUUGGAAAGUUUCGGCGGUUGGGGAUGGACUCGCGGCUUUUCAGCUUGUUGGUGGGGUAGUGGCUUACCAAGGCUUUGACGGGUAGCCGGCCUGAGAGGGUGACCGGCCACAUUGGGACUGAGAUACGGCCCAGCGUCCUACGGGAGGCAGCAGUGGGGAAUAUUGCACAAUGGACGGAAGCCUGAUGCAGCAACGCCGCGUGCGGGAUGACGGCCUUCGGGUUGUAAACCGCUUUCGCCUGUGACGAAGCGUGAGUGACGGUAAUGGGUAAAGAAGCACCGGCUAACUACGUG
RNAcentral lists this ribosomal RNA (468 nucleotides) under uncultured bacterium. Its description in RNAcentral is "partial 16S ribosomal RNA". It matches the Rfam family "Bacterial small subunit ribosomal RNA", at positions 28 to 507 of the family's 1533-position model. The record is from RNAcentral.